AGAAUCAACGCUGGCGGCGUGCCUAACACAUGCAAGUCGAACGAGAAAGUGGAGCAAUCCAUGAGUAAAGUGGCGACCGGGUGAGUAACACGUGACUAACCUACCUUCGAGUGGGGGAUAACCUAGGGAAACCUGGGCUAAUACCGCAUAACAUCUUUGGAUCGGAAGAACUGAAGAUCAAAGGAGCAAUUCGCUUGAAGAGGGGGUCGCGGCUGAUUAGCUAGUUGGCGGGGUAAUGGCCCACCAAGGCUUUGAUCGGUA
This 261-nucleotide ribosomal RNA is filed under the name uncultured bacterium. RNAcentral describes it as "partial small subunit ribosomal RNA". It matches the Rfam family "Bacterial small subunit ribosomal RNA", at positions 26 to 285 of the family's 1533-position model. The record is from RNAcentral.